This 324-nucleotide ribosomal RNA is filed under the name uncultured eukaryote. Its description in RNAcentral is "partial 18S ribosomal RNA". It matches the Rfam family "Eukaryotic small subunit ribosomal RNA", at positions 1470 to 1796 of the family's 1831-position model. The record is from RNAcentral.
CCCUUAGAUGUUCUGGGCCGCACGCGCGCUACACUGAUGAAUUCAACGAGCACUAACCUGUGCCGAAAGGUUCGGGUAAUCUUGUGAAAUUUCAUCGUGAUGGGGAUUGAUUAUUGCAAUUUUUAAUCAUAAACGAGGAAUGCCUAGUAAGCGUGAGUCAUCAGCUCACGUUGAUUACGUCCCUGCCCUUUGUACACACCGCCCGUCGCUCCUACCGAUUGAAUGCUCAGGUGAGCCAUUCGGACUUUCAUCAUGCUGGUUUCCAGUUUUGAUGAAGGAAAGUCUUGCGAACCUUAUCAUUUAGAGGAAGGAGAAGUCGUAACA